Molecule: ribosomal RNA, 293 nt
Filed under: uncultured eukaryote
Lineage: Eukaryota
Description: partial 18S ribosomal RNA
Rfam family: Eukaryotic small subunit ribosomal RNA
Source: RNAcentral
GGUUGAUCCUGCCAGUAGUCAUAUGCUUGUCUCAAAGAUUAAGCCAUGCAUGUCUAAGUAUAAACAUCUUUAUACUGUGAAACUGCGUACAGCUCAUUAUAUCAGUAAUAAUUUAUUUGAUGGUACUUCACUACACGGACACCUGUAGAAAAGCUAGAGCUAAUACGUGCGUAAAGUCCCGACUGGGGGGUUUGGGGGUUUCGGCCCUCUCUCUCACCCGGAAGGGAUGUACUUAUUAGAUAAAAAACCAAUGCGUUCGGGCUUCGGCUCGGGCGGUUUUGUGUUGAUUCAUA